CCUCCGCCGCCUCAGCAGUGGCAGCAGCAUCAACAGUGGAUGAUGCAGUAUCCAGGCGCGGCGGCGAUGAUGAUGAUGCAACAUCAGCAGCAGCAUAUGAUGAUGUAUCCUCACCAAUACGUUCCUUACAAUCACGGCGGUCAUUAUCACCACCACCCUCCUCACCUCCAAUACGCACCGUAUCAUCAGCAACACCACAACCACCACCACCAAAAGCCACCACAUGAGCGUGGUGGAUCUGGAGAAGACGUCAAGACUCUAUGGGUUGGUGACCUUCUUCAUUGGAUGGACGAGACUUAUCUCCACACCUGCUUUUCUCACACCGGCGAGGUAAUAAAUGAAUGGUUGUUACGUGUGAAAAGUGAUUUAGUUUCCAGAUCUUGGUCUUGUUCUUGAUGUUUGGUUUUGAUUCAUUGUCUCUAGCUAAGGACUUUUUUUUUUGGCAAGUUUUUUUUUUUUGAAACUGCUUUUAUUGGAUAAGAUCCAAUGAUUAUUUAUUGAAUUUUUCAUAGAAGAAACAAAUAUGGUAAUGGAAAAAUAUUAUUUGACUUGAAAAUGACAUGACACCUUCAGACUUCGUUAGGCAAAAAGUAUUGUACUACGUUGCCAUGUUGAGAUGAACUUUUCUUGCUUAGGAGAAAAUAAUAAAAACAUGUAAAAAGAUUAUCAAUUUGAUAAUAUUUUUUCAAUUAUUCAUACUUACAUAUUUGUUCUAAUGCAGUUCUGUUUUGUUUUUACUGGUGUUUAGGUUUCUUCUGUGAAAGUUAUUCGUAACAAGCAGACUCUUCAGUCAGAAGGAUACGGUUUUGUUGAGUUUCUUACACGUGCUGCAGCUGAAGAGGUACUCCAGAGCUUUAGUGGUUCUAUAAUGCCAAACUCUGAGCAAGCCUUCCGUCUAAACUGGGCGUCUUUUAGCACCGGUGAGAAGAGAGCAGUAGAGAAUGGUCCUGAGCUGUCCAUAUUCGUUGGAGAUUUGUCUCCGGACGUGACUGAUAGUAUGUUGCAAGAGCUGUUUGCUGAGAGAUAUCCCUCUGUUAAAAGCGCCAAGGUUGUGAUUGACUCCAAUACUGGCCGAUCUAAAGGUUACGGUUUUGUUAGGUUCGGUGAUGAAAGUGAGAGAUCAAGGGCUUUGACUGAGAUGAAUGGAGCUUUGUGUUCCAACAGGCAGAUGAGAGUUGGUGUUGCGACUCCUAAAAGAGCUGUUGCUAAUCAGCAACAACAUUCUUCACAAGGUGACUACACAUAUCUUAUAAAGAUAAUAAUGCUUCUUGUUAACAUUCAACAAAGUUUUAUGUUUUGGUUGGAGUAGCUGUGAUAGUGGCUGGAGGACAUGGAGCAAAUGGUUUCACCGCUCAUGGGUCACAGUCUGAUGGUGAUUCAAACAACUCAACAGUGAGUUAUCAGAGCUUUUCCCUCGGCUAGCAUCAUUCAAGCUCUGUUUCAUUUUCUCUUUUAUCUACUGCAGAUAUUCGUUGGCGGACUUGACCCUGAUCUUACAGAAGAAGACCUCAGACAACCUUUUACACAAUUUGGCGAGGUUGUUUCAGUGAAGAUCCCACUAGGCAAAGGAUGUGGAUUUGUCCAACUUUCUAACAGGUGCGGUCUUUUACCUAGAAGUGUGGGCUUGUCAGUCAUAAGACUGAGCCAACCCAAUGUUUAAUCUCAAAGCUACUUGCUGCCUUUGGUUGUGACAGGAAGAGUGCUGAUGAUGCAAUCCAGAGUUUGAACGGGACAGUCAUCGGCAAGAACACUGUCAGGCUCUCUUGGGGAAGAACCCCGAACAAGCAGGUAAAUGUUUUUUUUACUAUCUGUAGACUAACAUCAAUUAUUUUGGGAGGGUCAAACUUUGUCAAGAGGGGUUUCUAUAAUCCUGGUUGUGUCAUUAUAUAAUAAAACUUAAAGUUAGUGGUAGACAAUAGGCAAAUAGCUGGUGGUGGAAUCUAUCUUGCUCUUCCCUUCGUUUUCUCUUUUGAUUCUACAAGUUGUAAUAUCUAACACCCAACUUGUCACUUCCCUUUAACAUGGUCAAAGUCUUGAUUUUCUUGUUCCCCAUAUUCGUACGACUUAAAAAUGAUUUUAAAAAAAACUUGUUCCCAUUCCUGUCAAGUUCUUGUUUCAUGUCGCACAUGUUCGAUAAAUAUCGACUCUAUCUAUCUCUCUUAAUGUGUUGUUGUCUACUUUGUGGCAGUGGAGAGGAGACAAUGGAGGAUACUCGCGAGGACAAGGUUACAACAACGGAGGCUACGCUAACCACCACGACUCCAACAACUACCCCGCCGAGACUUGAAGAGAAUAAGAGUCUCGAAGUGUUCAUGGAUCAUAGUGGUUUAAGCCUUCUGUGAUUCAUAACACGUCAAUCAAAUGCUAAAAACUUGUAGUCGAAAAAGAGAAUUUUGUUAGAUUUGAUUUGGUUUUGAUAGACUGAAACAUGUUGGUUACUGGUGUCUUGUCUGAAGACUAACAUAAUGGUUUGUUCUCGUUAGAUAAUUUCGCCUUGCAAGUUAAAACCUUUAAAUUCUCACAACAGCUCCACUAUAAAUACAGCUCAUAGCUUAACCCUCGACAAAGGGACCUGUGGGGUCACGUGACCCCUUUAAAUUUCGGAAGAGUGAGGCAGUUUUAUUAGUAUGGGCAGAGUUUGAGAAAAGCGUUGGCUUAUGAUUUGCAACAGAGGCUCUCUUCAAGGUGGAAAAAACAUGACAGUUCUUGGUCAAGAGCUGGACCUUCUUGUUAUUGUUAUCAUCAUGCAAGAAGAAUGUGUUCUCAAGUGUCAUUUGUAGAUUCAAUCCUCUUGAGAGAAAGAUUUAACUUUUUAGCUUCAACUUGAAGGAUUCAGAAUCUCUCUUCCAUUAAUCUUUUAAAAACAUCACUAUGGAUUGUUGUCUGAUUACAACUUUCAAGGCGUGUCUGAAUUUAACAGUAGUCUUCUUUUGUUGAAACUUUUGCAUUUCUUUUAUAACACUAUCAACUUGGGAAUGAAUGAGUCUCUUUUAAUACAAAUUCCAGUUUACAAUUCCAUAACAAGAUCAGUAAAGUUCUUUGACAUCUCCAUUCCCUAUGUAUGCUUUUGGAUCUGUCAUAACGCCCCCAUCACCGUGUUUUAGCUAAAGGCUGUCGAGUAGAGACACCGUGCAACAGUUUGACAAAACCCAAGAAGCUUAGCUUCCCAUCAGUGUGUCUAAUCCAGUCAUGUAGGAUGGUAUGGACUGGUAUCGAUGAUCCAACACCGAGUUCCUACAAAAAAAACAUGUAUGUUCCCUUAAGCACUUGGCUGAAAACAUAGUGAAUUGAAAGGGACAAUGAGAAACUUACGGAAGCGAGUUCUUCGAUGACGAUAACUCGGUUCCCAUUCAUCUCAAAGAGCUCAUAAGCAUGGCGAACGCUCUGCUCCCAACAAUCAAGUGACUCAUGCUGAUGAACACUAAUGGAAGCUGCACAAAACUCUUCAAAAUCCAUCCCUUUGUAUUCAAGUCCAUUUAACUGUGUCAUUCACACCCAAACCUUUUGUUAACCAAACAGAUUUAAGCAAGAAGAGCUGUAAACAAAAGCAGGACAAUACCAAUGCAAGAAAGUCAGGUAUCCUUGAUUCUUUCAUUGCUUCGGUCGCAUUUGAAGCAAGUGCCUGUCCAACAGAAAAUGAGAAUCUAACUUUGAGCUGUAUGUUAGAAUGUGUGAGAAAGAGAGAAGGUACAUACCGAUCUGAUGUUAUCCAGAGUGAUGAGGCCGUUUUUGUUAGGUGCUAAAAGCGCAAACUGUGCUUUCAGAUAAAGAAGUUCAUCUGUAAUCAAUGUCUUGGACAGAGCCUGGAGGGAGUAUAUAAGAGUUAGCAUCAACACUAACAAUGUGAAACAAAUAACACAAUGAAGAGAUUGCAAGGAAAAAUGUACCAUCAAAGCAGCUUUGCGCAAAGAAGAAGAUUUCAAGUAUGCUUUCAUCUGCCUGAAGAUCAGAAUAUCAAAUGGGAUAUUCAUCUUCUUACAUCCCGCGAUCCAUGGAUGCACUGGAAAAAUGUAUUCAAGUUGAUCAGUAUUCAAGAUGAAUCAAAGAAAGAUUGAGGAGAUGUUUAGAGUUACUGACUCAAAGCUUGAGAGGCUGUCAUUCUCUUUCUAGGAUCUUUGUAUAGUAACCGUUUAACAAAAUCUUUAGCUUCAAAGGACAGUGAAGGCCAAGGAGGUUCACUAAAACUCGGAUCAGUUUUAAGAACUGCUCUGAAGAUCCCUGAUUCAGUUCUUGCCCAAAAGGGCCGGCUUCCACAUAGGAGAAUGUAUGCUAUGACUCCUAUACUCCAAACAUCCGCUUCCGUGGUGUAAGAUCUGUGUAGAACUUCAGGGGCUACGUAAUAUGCACUGCCCACUAUAUCGUUUAGUCUCUCGUCUGGUCUGACAAAGUCUGAUAAACCAAAAUCUAUCACUUUCAACUGAGAGUUGUCCUCCUUGGAAGUGUACAAGAAGUUCUGUUACAUGAAAUGGGAAGUUUGGAAUCAAAAUCUUUAUUUGGGGUUUAAAAGGGAAUUUAAAGGAUGAGAAUAGAGGUUCACCUCUGGUUUUAAAUCUCGAUGAACUACUCCUUGGAGAUGACAGAAAGCUACAACGUUAAGGAUCUGUGUAAGCACUGCUUUUGCAUCAUCUUCAGUGUAUUUCCCUCCCCUAAAAGAGAAUGUGACAUAGUCAGACCAAACGUUAACAAGUUUCAUGGCAAAUGAUUCUCUUUGUUUUAAUAGCAGACCUUGCUAGUAUUCUGUCAAGGAGUUCACCACCUCCACAUAACCUGAAAGUUCCAAGAAAGUAACUGUUUAUAAACGGCUGAAACUUUUUUGAGGUAAGGCAAGUCAAUAAAAUAUGAAUCUGAAGAUAUAGUAGAUUAUUUUCCUGUAUAUAUAACUAAAAUCUAGUUGAUUCAAACAUUGUAUGUAGGAUGAUAGUAAUGUGUUCUUACUCCAUAACGAUGUAGACGUUAGCAUUGUCCUCAAACGCAUCGUAGAAUUGUACUAGAUUGUUAUGUCCAGAUAACGCCCGCAGGAUCUUAACUUCUCUUCUUACAUCCUCUAUAGAUAUUGCAGUUGUCAUCUGCCAAACCAAAUACUAAUGAGCAACAGUCUAUUAUGGAUUAAGCUUACACUCUAACAAAUUCAGAAGUCAGAUAAGUUGAUUGCAUGAUACAAAAUUGCAUUAAGGACCAUAGAUACUUCUUCAUUUCCUUGAUGACAUAAGCACAAAAAUGACUAUGCUUCCAACGAAUUAUUGACCAAGUUAUAACGUGUAGAACCUUUUCACCAGGAAAAAAAGUCAGCAAAAUUUACAUCUACUACCAUUGAAAAUCUUCACCUUUGACAAAUAUAUAAAACUUAUCAAAAACUUUACAACCUAAUCCGAAUUCAAAAAAACAUGUUUGUUUUUUCUAUUAAUUUCUAAAGCAUAACAGUCACACACCCCAUUUAAUUUUCUAACAAGAAAGACAGUAAGUUCAUAGAGAAGAAAAGAACAUAUCAAGAGAGCCUAUGAAGAGACCAACACAUCUGUAGAAUUAUCAAAUUUCAGCUAACACCUCACCAAACAUCAAACAGCAUGCAAACUUAAAACCAAUUGAAGAACCUUAGAACUUAAGUGUUAAGUUGUAAAGCUUUGACCUUAGAUUUAGGGAUGACUUUAACAGCAACCUCAUGAUCCUUGAGCUCUCCUUUCUUGAACUUAGCAGAGCAAGUAUACCCAAAAUGCCCUCUCCCAAUCUCUUCCCCUAACUCCAUCCUACUCUGAAACUCCUUUGAGAAUCCGAAUCUCUUGUCCAGCCCCACCUCCUCUCUCUCCUUCUCCUCCUCCGUCUGCUUCUUCUCCGCCGGCAAAGUAGCUUCCUUUUUCCCCUUCCUCCGCCGCAGAACAUCCCGGAUGUGUUUCGCCGGCGACGGAGGGUGGAAAGCACGCGCGAGCUGACGGAGCGGAGUGCUGGUAACGCUCUUGCUCUCUCCUCCUCCUCCUCCGUCGCGGCUCUUGUUACGGCGGUGCCUGGCGGGGCUUGGAGUGUAGAAUGGGAGGAAAGGAGAGGACUUUACGGCGGUUGAGGUACGGACCGGUGAUUUGCCGGGAUGGGCAGGGGUAGAAUCGUCAUUUUGUGGGAACGCGUCUUUGGGUUUCACGGAGGAGGAGGGUUUGGAGGUACAACCUCCCAUCGUCUUCUCCGGUUGACAGUCAACUUGAAAGAAAAAAAAGAAAUUUAAUUUUGAAAAAUCAAAAAGACAGAAGAAGAAGAGGAGAAUUGGGACAGUGAGCUUUAUGAGAAUCACAGCAAAGACAUUGAAUUGAAGGUCUGGUCUUUUAGAGAGAGGAAGUGAGCUGUAGAGGAGAGAGAGGCCACAUGGCAUAAUCUGCGGGUGUGUUGAUCUGAUGAAGGUAGUAGAUGUGGAUUGGUGGAGAUUUAGUUGCUUUUUGCCACGUGUUUUUGUUUUUGAAAAUUUUAUUAAAAUUGUUUUGUUUUCUUGUUUUACUUUCGGUUUAAUUUAUCACUAAAUAUUUGUCUUUUUUCUUGUCUUUUAUUUUGUGGGGGCCUUAUAGUUUUUUGUCUUUUGUAUUUUGAUACUUUAUUUAGAGGAAUAUCAAACCAUUAAAAAGUUUCACAUAAAUUGGUGAAUUGUGUAGAUCUUAGUGUUUAUGGAAAACAAUCUUACAGAAAUGAUAAGAAAUAAAAACCGUUUCUCAAUCUAGUAAUAAAUACUAAUCAUACUGUUUCCAGAAAAUAAAAUAAAAAACUGUUUAAAAAUAUUUAUAAGUUUUCAACAUAUUGUUUAUCAAUUUAAAAUCACUAAAUUUAUGGAAUUAUUAUUGAUACAAUUUAUUUAAAUUAGUUAAUCAUACAAAAUGAUGCACGUAUUCAAAUUUUAUUUAUUUUCUUAAUAUAUGGGGAAAGUGAGAUUCAGAAAAGAAUGUAGUGAUGAAAGAUUGAAAAAAAAAUCAUUACUAGGAAAAUAGAGGGAGUACACAUCUAGAUGAUCCAAAGAGAUUAUGUAAAUAUAAUUUAUAUAUAUAUAUAUAGCUUUUUUCAACUUUGUUAAAUAUUUGACAAUAUAUAUAGUUGUUUUUUUUUUGACGAAAACAAUAUAUAUAGGUGAUGAUUGGUUCGACUGUGGCUUAAAAAAUUUAACUGUAGAUGUUUAGUUGUAGAUAAAUUGGUUGUAGUUGUAAAGUUGUUGCUGUAGACUUUUUCUGCAGAGACUUUUGUUGUAGUUAAAUUUGUUGUAGCUGUAAGUUAUAGGCUGUAGAUAUUUUAAAAUAAAAUAUAUGAAAUAUGUGUUGUAUAUAUAAAAUUAUUAUUUUAUGAAUUAAAAUAAUUUAUAUUAAUAUUUUUGUUUAUAAAUUAUCAAAAAAAUUUGUAAUUUAAAAAGUGAUAUGCAAAUAAUAUUUAUAUUAUUUAAAUAUCUUAAUAAUUAAAAAAACACUCAAAUUCAAAAUUAAAAUAUUUAUAAAAGUUUUUAUUAUGAUUAUAUAAUUUAUUUGAUAUUAUAGAUAUCUUUUUUUACAUUUUACAGAUUCUACAACCUAUAAAAAUAUGAUGUAGCAUUUUUGCCUAAAAUGCAUAAUAAAAAGUUUUGCUUUAUUUUUUUUGCUGUAGCUUUAAAAAUAAAGCUAAAGCAUGAUUGGUAAAAUUAAAUAAAAACUUGAUGUAGACUUUAAUUUUUAAAAGUAAAGCUAAAGCAUGAUUGGUAAAAUUUAGUGAUUUAAAAAUAAAUAAAGCUAAAGUAUGGAGAUAAAGCCCAACCAAUCACCCCCAUAGUUGUUGGAUCGUAUCUUUUAAGAAAUAGACCCAAAAACGGAAUUCGAAACUCGCAAACAACAAUAACAAUCCCAAGCUAAGUUACCAAGCUACAUGCGUUUAAUUCGCUUAUGGGUUAAGGGCUAUCACAUAAGUAGUUUUAAAAAAAAUAUAUAUAAUGGAAACAAAAAGUGGUCCACUGUAACAAUUUCAGAACGAUAGCUAGCAUGUGGUUGGCGGUAUAUAACAAGUUUGUAAUUUUGUAGAUAAUUUACUAAAGAUUAUCUAUCAAGCAUGAAUCAUAGUCCCUAGUCCCUGCAUGGAUUUACAUUUAUAGUUAUCUUUUUUUCUAAUCUAUCUUCUCUAGUUAGUAAAUACCAUAUAGUCAGCGAAGAAGCUUGAUUUGAAAAUCUAUCUCUAGCUAACUGUAAUCAAAUAACUUCGCUCUCAAAAUCAAGAUAACUUAACAAAUAUAUGUAUCACUAAUUGAUUGUAUGUACUAUGUACAUAUCUGCUCUUUUUCUUGGAAGAAGUUGAUAUAUGUAAUGUAACCCAACAACUUCAUUGUAUCUGGACAGGAUGUAUUUCAAUUUUCAAAUGCUUAUUAGAUCGAUCAGCAUCUUCAAGAAGAAUUAACUGGUCCACAUCUCUAGUUUAUUCUCACUAACUCUUGAUUUGAUUACCGAAUAUUACAAGAUCUUAGAAGUUGCGUAUUUUUAUGUUCAUCUUCCCAUUUUAGUACAUCUGUAUAGACUAAGACCGUGGUUAUUGGUGUUUCGUGUUUGAUUUAGUUCAUAUUUCUUGAUCAUUCGUCUUUUCAUUUAAUGGCAAUAGUGAUUCGUUUUCUACAACCAAUAUUCGAGUCACAUAGUCAAAAUAAAUAGGUGAGAAUGAUUACACAACAGGGUUGCAGUCCUUGUGCUAUAAACCCUUCAUUAUUCAGUUAAUCUCACAAAGAAAUAAAUAAAUCAAAACAUACAAAAGAAAUUGCCCAAGUUAGAGAAUAAAAGAAAUGCAAAAAGAAAGAAAAAAACACUCAAAAAACUUCACCAUGCCUUCUCAGUUCAAACACUAUAUAGUUACCUCAUCAUCCCAAACUCAUGUCCUUGCUUCUGUGAACUCAUAUCUCAAGAAACCAACCCACAUGUAUUAUUUGGUUAAAGACUGUUAGAUAAUAAUAAAUAGUAGUAGUCCUUCACUUAGAGAUUGUUAGAUAAGACUGAGAUUGACGGGUUUGCCACGUCCCAUGGUGAACCCUCUUGUACCAUCAGGCAUCCUUGGUCCCUUUGUUGCUGUUUUUGGAGACGAAGAUCCGUGUAAACCUAGGCUCGGUGACAUUGGGCCGAGGCUGAGUCCCAUCCCGAUCCCGAAGCUACGUUCUCCUCCUCCUACCACAUAGCUUCUUGGAGACCGUCCUCUUCCUUUUCCUCUCCCUUUUCCCCACAGUCCUCCAAGAGUGUUCUCAUCACCCUAAUGUGCACACCAAGAAAUAUUUUUUUUUUCCUUAAAAGGAAAGGUUUAAUUUGAAGGGGAUUAAGCAACACUAACCUCGUUAUCAAGCUGAUGCUCGGUUAAAUGGAGACGUGGAGAGUCUUCUCCUGAUUCAUAAGGACUUUCAUCAUCUAUGAGGAUGCCAUCAAAGUUUCUUCUGUGCUUGAGCACUGAUUUGGGCUGUAAAAAUACAAAUUAAUCUCAAGAGAGGGAUUUUGUAGUUUCGAGAAAUAUAUGUUGGUUGUUAAACAUCAUAAGUGUGUAAUGGAUUUACCGAGCAUCUAAGAAGCAGCCUCACACGAAGUCCUUUCCUCCAGUUUCUUUCAUCGUUCAGCUUCUCCACCUGGUAUGGAUCACAUCUUAGAAACUUAUGAGUUUUGGAUCAAAGAAGAACGUGUGGAAGAAAAGAUGAACUCACAGCUUUAUCCGCGACAACAGUGUGGUCAUACUCGAUCAGUGCGUGAAUCUUUGGAUUAAAAACAAACUUUUAAGUCCAUGAAAAGCUCAAGAAGCAGAAGAAAUUAUUAGAAGCAAGUCUUGGUACUACUUACUUUGUUGCUCAUCAAGAAAUCUCCUUUUGGACGAGAGGAGUUUGAUUCUGGAGGAUGACAGAUUCUAAUCGCUUUAACGCUGAAACAAAUUCAUACUUGUUGUUUGGUUAGAAAAAAAGGCAUGUUUAAGUGAAAGUAUAUGGAGUAGAAUGUUUCUUACUUUCCAACAACUCCAAAGAUCUUCUCAAGGUUCUGGUAGGAGUGAUCAUCUGGUAGAUUCUCUGCAACAACGGUCCGGCCCUGAAGCGCAAUAAACAGAAACAAGAUGUAUUUAAUAUGUAUAUAUAGUUGAUUAUAAAUAUAAUGAAGGCUUAGUUACCUGCAAAUCCUCUCUGUCUCUAUCAGUAAAUGGAACUUUACGCUUAACUUUCUUGUUGUCUUCACUCACAACCUUCAUUUUGUUGUUAAAAAAUCUCUCAGUAUAUAUACUCAAGAUCUUAUGAUUAGCAUGUUGGUAUGUAGAAAGAAAAGCUUACGAGCUUAGAGGACGAGCGUAGAGCCAAUGAAACUAAGUGGUGGUUACUCGUUAAAGCCUUGAUCUUCUUGGUCGAAGCAAUGUAAGAUAUUGGCACUGAUUUUAAAUAGAGAGACAAAUGAAUGUAAAAACAAAACAAAACUACGUUUUGAAUAUAUUUAAUUACAACUGUUUCAGAAAACUGAAGGCUUACCAUAACCUUCAGGGUCUUUGUUCAUGUGCUUUGAGAUGGACUCAUUAGCUAAGAGACUCAUAUCCGUGAACUGGUACUCAACCUAUACUUUGAAACCAUAGUUAGUUUCUUGUGAGUCAAGAAAUUGAAUUGAAAGGCUAAACUAGCGUCGGUUUAAUCUUAUUUGAUACAUCAUUAUCUGCAGCUACUCGAAUUAAUCAACACAAUAUUUAUAAAAAAAAUCUGUAAAUAUGAUCUCAUGACAUAAUUAUUAUCUCACAUUAUAACAUAAUACACAUGUGAAAAAAUAUUGAUAAUUGAUAUUGACAUUUAAUCCGAACAUUGAAUAGAUUUGACAUCAAAACAUCAAAGUUUCACUGCAUAGAUUUGACAAAUUUAUGAUCAAUUUAAACACUUACACAUAUAAAAAUUGAAAAUGAUACUUUUAACACAUAAAUUUCAUUUUUUCUUAAAAAUAACACAAAAAUAAAAAAAAACAUUUGCAAUUAAACAAAACGAUAAUUAAGUAAAAAAAAUAACGCGGGAAACAAAAGAAGUGUUAACCUGUUUGACGAUCUUAAGGCGGAGAUCAUCAGAGAGCAACGAAGAAGAAGGAGAAGAGUUCUGAUUCACCGGAAACUGAACCGCCGGACUCGGAACGUAAUACGCAGCCGCCGGAUCGUGAACGUGUGGAUGCUGAGCAGGAUCUCCUCCUCCGACGAAGAACCAAUCCGACGCCUGAGUACCGACCGCCGUCCCUCCUCCGUCGCUGUAGUGAAAGCAAGGAUAAAAGUAACCGGAGAUCGGAGAAACCUGCGGUGUUGCCACGGCGGCACGCGAUUGCGGUACGAACUCCGGUGCUUCAGCGUUGAAUUUGAACGAUGACGCCUGAGCGCCGGAAGAUCCGCCGCCUCCUCCUCCUCCUCCGUCUGAUACUUUCUUAUCCGCCGUGACGGAUUCAACAUCUUCUCGGUGCAUCUGCGCCAUUUUCCACUCACUAUGCAAAACUCUCUUUAACAAAAUUAAUAUUUUUUUGGUGUUUAUAUUUUUUCAAUCUAACAAAAUUAAUAUAUUUUUUUGUUGUUUGUGGAUUUGAUUUCUUCUUCUCUAGUUUUUUCUUACUACUUCCCCUCGAAUAGUUAUAAAACAACGAUUUUUUUGAAGCCCUUGGCUUUUCGCGCAAAUUAUGGAUUUGUAACGAGAAAAACUAGCUUCUAGCUUUGACUUUGUACUUUUACUAAUUUUUAAUAACUUUUAAUUUUCACUUCCUAAAUGAGAUUAGAAACAUAAAAUCUUUUAUAUAUAAAAUCUUUUAUAUAUUAAAAGAAAAGCAUUACAACAUUUGAGGUAGUCAUGUGUCAUCACCAUAAUGAUUCUUAAAACCUUAGAAAAAUAAGUUGGUAUCUAUCUAAAUAUAUGAUAAUAUUUUUUAUUAAACUAACUAUAAAUUAAUUAUUAAUGUUCUCAAUUUUGUUCUUAAAUAAAAAUUAUAAAAUUACCUAAUGUGACUAAAGUAUAUAUGACAAUUAAUGAUAUUGAAUAAUAAAGAUUUGAUACAAAUUAGUGUAUUUUCUAUCAUUUUUGUUUAACUUAAGUUAUAUUUUGAACUUUUUAAAAUAUCUCACAUUGAAAUUUUUAUGAUCCAUGAUUUAAUUUUUUAUUUAUGAAAAGAUACAAAUUAUUACAAAAUCAUGUAAGUAGAAAGUCUUAUAUAUAUUAAUAUCUUUUAAUUAAACUAUAGAAAAAUUUCCUUAGAUAGUCUUUUUUAGUUUAUUUUCGCAAAAAUAGACUUCAAGGAAGAAAAUGACCAAAAUAGGUUUUAUUAAAGGGAAAAUAUGCAUUUAUACCCAAAGAUUAACUAAUCUAGACUUAGGGUUUAGACUUAAGGGGUGGAGUUUUGGGGAUAAGAUUUCAAAUUAAAAGAAAAUUAAAAAAAAAUUAAAAUUUUCAAAACAAAAAUGUGUUAUUUUGGUCAUAUUAUUUUUUAGUACUAUUUUUAUGAUAAAAAAUUAUUAAAGGCAAUUUGAGAGAAUUGCCCUAAACUAUAUACCAUAUAAAAUACAUAAAGAUUUUAAUUUUGAAAUUUGUUUUGAAGAAUUUUUUUUGAUAAAAUCUUUGAAUACAUACUGACAACUCAAUAUUUAAAAUUUGCAUUGAAUGUUUAUAAAAAUUAUAAAUUACUAAAACUUUCAAAACAUUGCACAAUGAAAAUUUGUUAUUAGCGAUUUAAAAUUUUUGUUAUAAAGAGAUACAAAUAAGUAGAACGCAUCAUUUAAAAAUAUAUCAAUAUUUAAAAUAUACUACUUAUGUAUGUAUAUAUUAUGUAAAUUUAAUUAUAUAAAAUAGAAAACAAAAAAUAUGAUCGUUUGGAUUAAUAAAAUUUAUUUACGUAUUCACACUAGUUUAAUUAUAUAUGUAAUAGUUACUGACUUUUUCAUUAUCCAAUAUAUAUAUAUAUAUACAUUAUUUUAUAAUAUAUAAAAAAUAUAUAUAAUACAUAAAAUAAUAUAUAUAUAUAUAUAUAUAUAUAUACGAUGUUCGUUCCGCGCAAGAUGCAAAUAUUAAUCUAGUUUAUAUUAUUACAUGUCACUUAAUUGAUAGAUAUGCAAUCCAUAAAAAAUGAAAGAAAAACUGCUCAAUCAUAGACCAGUCAAAAUUUGAAAAAAAUCAUAUUUCUAGUGUAAACAUCUUUUAAAGACUAUAAACAGAUUAAUUACAUUGUCAAAUGAUAUUGCUCUCUACCGAACUUUAGUUUCUAGUGAUUUUAAAUACACAUUCUCAAUAUCAUUAACCACCAACCAGUUGGUACUUAAUUAGUUCAAACUUCUUUUAGUUUCCUAGUGUUAAUUAAAUUACUAACCUCUCAAGUUUAUCAGCAAAAAGUAAAUGAAAAGUCCUACUAUAUGUUUCUGAUGACUGAAGAUGGUGAGUUUCGAAUCACAAUAAACAUGGUGAAUAUCAAAACAUCGAAGAGUAAAUGAAAUUUUUUUUUAACCAAUUCUAAUAGCUCUCUCUCUCUUUUAAUGAGUCUCACAGACAAGUAUCAUCCAAUAGGAUAUUCAUAAGGAAAUCUUCAAAAGGCACUUAAUAGAAAAUUAAAAAUUUUUAAAAGCCAAACUAUACCUUGUCCCUCAUUCUUGUUGCCCGAAUACUUGUUGCCCUAACUGUUGCAGUAAUUCUCGAUGUUGUUGCAGUUGACUUGGUUCAUUUAUUGUUGGGCUCAGUUUCAUAAUUUGUGGUUGCAGUAGCUAUUGCAUUUGCGCUUGCCUUAUUUGCUGUUGUUGUUGUAUCAUUUGUUGUUGUUGUUGUAUCAUUUGCUGUUGCAGUUGACUUGGUUUCAUAACUUGUGGUUGCAGUAACCCUUGCUGCUGUUGCUCUUGUUUUCGCCAUGCUUGAUGUAGCUGUAACAUUUGAUACCUUUGCUGUUGCAUUAUUGCUUGCACUGAUCCUUGUUGCCCUAAUCCGCGAUGCCAUGUUCCUUGUUGACUUUGCAUCGAUAUUUGUGGUGCUUGUAGCACAGUGUUAGUUGGGUGUAGGCUUGGCUUCUGAGAGACUCUUAUCAUCUCUUUCGGAAAUACGCCCACAUUUGUAACUCCUGUUUGAUUCGUAACAUUCUUUAGUUUUUCUGAAACACUGUCAUGUUCCACCUCAAGAGUCUUGAUAGCUAUCAAGAAAAAAAAAAGAAAACGGGUUAGUUAUAUAUAGUUAUUUUACUUCUCAAAUCAGUAGAAUAAUUCAAAAUAUAAUUUAUAUAGAAUGAUCAAUCGAUCAUGAUGAUCCAUAUAUUGUGAAUUAAACGAAAAAUGAAUAUUACCAUGAUCUAAGAUUCGUUUGGAGUUAGGAAGUCCGAGAUCCUUGAUCUUACCCAUCUCCUCCUUGAGAGAGACAAGAUACAUAUGGAUCUUCACGUAUUUUCCAUGAAGUGUUAACGUUUGAGAUUUUUCAAUGUCUUCCAUGAACAACUUCAAUGGAUCACUCGUUGGUGGCGUGGGAGCACUAUAUAUUAGAAUGCUCAGAGGUUAGAAUAAAUGAUUUUGUACAAGUUAUAUGAUAUUAAUUGGGCGAAUAUAUCAUGAUUUCAAACGCCUGGAUGACUAAAAUCAGAACGUUCUCGGAUGAUUUGAGCCGCAAGAGGCCUAGCUAGGUGGUCAAUGUUUACAUAUUUAACAACAAAAAUCAUAACAAAUAGGUAAAAAGAGGGAAAGGAAGAGGGAAUACGUGUUUGAUGAUGGUGAUGGUGAUGUGCAAUUGUUCAUCGUUGAUACUAAGUCUUCAAUCUCCGAUUAAUAAGAACGUUCUCGGAUAAUUUUAGCUGCUAUGGGCCUAGCUAGGUCGUCUAUGUUUACAUAUUCAAAAGAAAAAACAAUUAGGUCUAUGAUGAUGAUGGCCCUGUGCAAGUAUUCAUCGUUAAAGUUAUACGAGUUUAGAAAAAAACCUUGUAAGCUUUUCUCUAAGAAACCCUAAAUUUGAUCCCGUCUUGCUUUUAUUCUUUCUUUCAACCCCAGUACUAGUAUUUAUAGUAUAGGAGUAUUAUUAUUAUUUUUAUUAUUUUUAAAUUAUUUCCUUUUUUUCGUCUCAACCUUGAAUCUUGAUGACUUCGCAGCUUUGGGUGGGGAGCUAUUUCUUAAAGAAUCGAAUCAUAAAUUAGUUAGUUGUUGACAAAAAGAAAAUAUAUAUCCAGUGAAUUAAAAUAUAUAGUGUACAAAAAAAACUCUUAAGACGACAUAUAGGUCCUCUAUGGCAGAAUAAUUUUAGAAUAAUAAUAUCAUUAUUUCUUGUUUAUAGGCAAAAUUCUUUGUAAAGAUUUGACUAUAAGCUUUGUGAAAGGCUAUGACUGUGCAUUGAUAGGCUGAUGAGAGUUCGUUAACCAACCGGUAACCAUAUUUUAUCCCCUAUAUAUUAUUUGAGAAACAUUGCAACAUAUUUUUGUAGCCACAUGUCAUCACUAGAAUGAUUCUUAAAAUCCUUAGAAAAAUAGGUUGGUCCAUCUAAAUAUAUAAUAAACUUUUUAUUAAACCACAAUAAAUACAUUAUUAAUGUGCUUAAUUAUUUCCUUAAAUAAGAUUACGGAAUUGCCUAAUGUGGCUAAAGUAUAUAUAUGACAAUUAACGAUUUUGAAUAAUAAAGAUUUGAUAAAAAUAAGUGUGUAUUAUAAUUAUAUUUGUUUAAUUUUAAGCUAUUAAAAUAAAUUAAACAAUCAUAGUAACCAUAUAAUAAAAAUUAAAAAAAUUAUUUAUAUAUUAUAUUUUGAAUUUUUAAAAACGAGUAUAAAUUACUAAAAUUGUUAAAAGUUUCACAUUCAAAUUUUGUGAUCUAUGAUUUAAAACGUUUGUUAUGACAUGAUACAAAUAAUAAAAAAUAAUAUAAGUUGAAAGUCUCAUUUAAUAUGUAUCAAAAAUAAAAGAUAUAUAAAUAUAUGUAUCAUUUUAAAUUAAACUAUAUGACAUAUAAAAAUACAUAAAUAUCUUAAUUUUGAAAUUUACUUUGAACAUUUUUUUGAUAAAAAAUUUGAAAAAAUAUUGACAACUUAAUUUUUAAAUUUUAUAAAUUACUUAAAACAUUAAUCCACAGUGAAAAUUUUGUUAUCACUAAUUUAGAUUUUUUUUUAUAACAGAUACAAAUACAAAUGAUAAAAAUAUGAGCAAAAAGCAUCAUCUAAUAAAUAUUGAUAUUAAAAUAUACCGUAUAUAUGUUACUAUCAUUUAAAUUUAAUUAUAUUGCAUAUCAAAUAGAAAAAAUAUUUGUUUGAUUUAAAAAAUGUAUUUAUAUGUUUGCACCAAUUUAAAUAUAUAAAUAGUAGAUAAUGACUUUUUAAUUAUUCAAUAUAUAUUUAUUAUUUCAUAAUAUGUUAUAAACAUAUAAUAUAUAAAAUAAUUUAUAUAUAUAAUGUUCAUCCCGCGCAAGGCGCGGGUCUUAACCUAGUAUCAGCUUAAAUGGCAAAACCUUGUAAAGCAAGCUUUUCGUAUCUUAAUAUAUGAUUAAGAGCUUGAUUGGUUUUCCCGCUACCACCCGCAAACGCAGCUUUUGCGAUUGGUAGCGGUUGACAGCGUUUCGAAACAAUCAUACAAACCGCUACAAAUCGCUUCAAACCGCUCCGAACCUCUUAAAAUCAAAAGCUGGUUCCAGCUAGCGUUUGCGGUUGCGGGCGGUUGCGGGAGGAUAAUUUUUUUUUCUUUUUUUUAAAAACCAUAUAAAUACAAAAAUAAAAAUAAAAAUAAAAUUUUUAAAAUAGAAUUAUAAAAAUACUAAAAUAUAUCUAUUAUAUUUUAAUUAAUAUUAUAAAAUUUUAAAAUAAAAAUAUUUUCUAUAAUUUAAAAAAUUUAAAACUAUAACUUUGAAAAUAUAAUUUACAUAUUUAUUAUAAUAUUAUGAUUUUUGAUAUUUUUAUAAUUAUAUAAAAUGUAAAUAUUGUUAAUUUAUUAUUUAACCGCUGCUGUAUUUGGUAGUUAACCAGUCAUAAGUAUCCCGCAAACGCACCAAUUUCUAACCGCAGAACCAGUCGUACAAAUCUCUUAAAACCGCUAGAAACCGCAACCACCC
RNAcentral lists this long non-coding RNA (16969 nucleotides) under Brassica rapa (field mustard). RNAcentral's name for it is "long non-coding RNA (BRAP_LNC003816)". Lineage: Eukaryota; Viridiplantae; Streptophyta; Magnoliopsida; Brassicales; Brassicaceae. The record is from RNAcentral.